GCCUGGCUGGCUCAGUUGGCAGAGUGUGUGACUCUGGAUCUCUAGGUCGUGAGUUCGAGCCCCACCUUGGGCA
Felis catus (domestic cat) is the source of this 73-nucleotide transfer RNA. It matches the Rfam family "tRNA". From Rfam's summary of the family: Transfer RNA (tRNA) molecules are approximately 80 nucleotides in length. Their secondary structure includes four short double-helical elements and three loops (D, anti-codon, and T loops). The record is from Rfam. Lineage: Eukaryota; Metazoa; Chordata; Mammalia; Carnivora; Felidae.